Long non-coding RNA from Bicyclus anynana (squinting bush brown), 2695 nucleotides. RefSeq lists it as uncharacterized. The record is from RefSeq and is a predicted model, not a curated record. The transcript has 2 exons. NCBI's taxonomy places the organism in Eukaryota, Metazoa, Arthropoda, Insecta, Lepidoptera, Nymphalidae.
ACACAUUUUUAACAAGAAAUCCCAAAAAAACAUAAAUAAUUAAAUACAAUUAAUAUUUUUGUCAAUUUUCAUUUGACAAAAGCAAUAAUAUCACAGACUAACCUAACAAACGUGUUUUUAGCCACAGAUGCAUGACAGUAAACCUAGAAUAACCACAGAUAAUGAAAUAGUGUUAGAUAAUUACUUGAAAAAUUCAAAAUUUGGGCACCCCGACUCCAAGCAGUCUUGUCUGCCCUACCCCUAGAGUGUUUUUGUAAAGCGCGAAGCCAGAAGCUCGCGAAGAAGGGGCCUAAUUGUCUAACGGAGUUCAUUGAUCGUAAAGUUCAUACGAUCGGCUACGAUCAACGAUCAAUCGUAACUUUACAUUGGUAUUGUCUAAUUUAGUUCAUUAUAUGAAGACCGGAUGGUGAACAUGAACUUAAAUCAUUCAUGAAGAUUGCGUAUUGUUUAUGCAAAACGAUAGUGAAACUAUCGUUAAUAAUAUUAUCAAAUUUAAGUCAAACUCCAUAAUAAUGCAUAUAUUUUAACAAAGUUUUAUGUCUUUUGUUUAAAACAUUAAAGAAGCAUUAAAUUUCACGAAAAAUAUCUACUAUUGAAGAAAAUAGCGUGAGAAAAUGGUACAUGCAACUCAAGUAACAAAACGCAAUUAACGAAUUUAACCAAGGGCUAUUUGGACUAUUUGGUAAUCUCCCUGUUGUCUGUGUAGCAGGGUUCCCAACUUAGGGGUUUUCCCCCCAGAUUUAGGGGGCAAAUAAGUGAAAUGGGAUUUUUUUAGGGGUCUGAAAUUUUUAGGGUUAUUUUCAGGGAUUUUUCGACUCUUUAAUAUUUUUAAAUUGAUGAUAAAUUUAAUAUUUCUUUCUUGACCUAGCGACUUAUAACGACAUAUAAUACGUCAUUUUACAACCACUCUGAAGCAACUGGCGGCAAUUUUCAUCAAAUAAAAAAAAAUGUUAAAUUUGUUCAUUGUCAACAUGUAUGAUUUCAAAAAAUCUGAAUCUUCAGAUAAAGACGUAAUAUUUUGUCUGUAUUAAAUAUAGACUUAAAACAUAUUACAGCAUAUUAUUUCUAAAUUAUUAUGAAUUUAUAUUUUUUAGGGGGACAACUCAAUAAUUAAGGCGAUUUUAGGGGUUUUUGACACAAACUUUAGGGAUAAAUAUUUUGGAGAGUUGGUAACACUGCUGUGUAGGCUAGUGUCAAAAUAACGGGGUAUCCUAUUAGUCUGUGGUGAAACAUAGCGUAUUAGUAACCUGUGGAUUAGAAAUUUUAAUUUAACAAAACAAAACAAAAUUUUCAUUUUUCAGGUUUUAAAGAGAAUUUAGAAAUUGAGCAAAGUUUUACUAAAUUAUAGUGAUCUUAGGAGCAAAGUUUACUUCGUUUGUGUUAUUGUUAAUCAAAAAUAUAAAAGUAAACAAAAAAGAAAACUACCUCUAUCUAAUUUUGUCGAUGUCCAUUUCUUAAGAAGUUUCUCAUUAAAACAACCCUUAACUCAGGCAAGGCAGGGCUAAGGUGGUUAGCGUAACUACAAGUGGUUAACUUACAGUUAGCCAACUGAAGAACAAUCAACAAUGCCCGAUUAAUAAGUGAUCGCGCUGCUUGUCUACUACAUGUCCCUGCACUAGUUAUAGCAGUAAUUUCUUUGUUGGGAAGUAUUUAGCACAUCCGGGCUGCGCAAAAGGAGAGGACUAAAUUGAUUAUUAUGAACAGACCAUUAUGAUGAACCACUGAUAUUGACUCAGAGACAUGAAGAUGAGUGCUUUGACAACAAGACUGACUAGCUGAGCCAGCUUAAGAAUUAUGUGGUGUGUCUAAUUCCAGGAGCUCUAUGUCAGCCAUCCAUCUAUAUUCUUACUCAUUUUUGUUAAUUAUAAAAUAAAUUUGAUUAUUUAGUGUGUAACUUCAUUGUACCUAUCCUGCUAGCUGUUAGAAAGAUAGCAUCUGUAAUAAUUUGAUCAUGACGGUAAAACAUAUUUAAAAAUAAACAUGCUUUAACAUUUAAGUAUGGCCAAUAUGUUGUCAAGUACAGUGGGCAGGGCUGAAUCCAUGAUUGAUGACUGAUCCAUGAUGAUGACUCGUUUUUCUGAUUUAAGAAAAUAUACUAAUCAUCAAAACAGUGUCUGCAAGUACUGUACAGGCCGACUGUUUGGAUGAGAAGUAUAUAUUUGAUUAUUUUUAAGCUUUGUGGUUUCAGGGUUUAAAAAUGUCUAACUGAAAGUCUAUGUUUACUGUAUUUAUUAUUAUUAUUAUAAUAAAUAAACUUAAAAAAAUCUUUUUUUUAUAAACUUCCAACCCCUAUUUCACCCUCAGAGGCGUCAUUUUCAUAAUUCUUAGAAUACUAGUAGUCAAGAUACUGUAAUAAAAAGAUACAGUUUGUGAGAUUGUAGGGGUAAACACUGGACCUACUGAACCAAUGUUGAAGAUUAUUUUACCAAUAAAAAUCCACAUUUGAGUAUUAUAGGCCAUGUAUUCCUUCCCACGGGAACAGGAAUUAUGUGGGUGAAACUGCAGGGGGGUGAACAUACACAGGUAUUAUAAAUGUAUUUUUUACAACUACACUUUUUUGAAUAAUUUAUUUAAUUAUUGUAAUGGUAAAAAAAAAUAUUAAUAGUAAAAUGUUAAACUGAAAGCUUUAGUUUUGGAAAAGACUACAAAAAACAAACUCAGCGAAGUAAGUAUUCUUUUAUUUUCAAAUAUCAAA